Molecule: ribosomal RNA, 327 nt
Filed under: uncultured Lachnospiraceae bacterium
Lineage: Bacteria; Bacillati; Bacillota; Clostridia; Lachnospirales; Lachnospiraceae
Description: partial 16S ribosomal RNA
Source: RNAcentral
GGAGUUUGGACCGUGUCUCAGUUCCAAUGUGGCCGUUCACCCUCUCAGGCCGGCUAUUGAUCGUUGCUUUGGUAGGCCGUUACCCUGCCAACUGGCUAAUCAAACGCGGGUCCAUCCUUAAGCGAAAUUCUUUCCUCACUAUGUCAUGCGACACUUGUAAGCAUAUGGUGUAUUAGCACCGAUUUCUCGUUGUUAUUCACCUCUUAAGGGCAGGUUACCCACGCGUUACUCACCCGUCCGCCACUAGAAUUUCCAAAAAUCCACCGAAGUCUCAUCUUGGAGUUCCCGUUCGACUUGCAUGUGUUAGGCACGCCGCCAGCGUUCAUC